RNAcentral lists this ribosomal RNA (253 nucleotides) under uncultured bacterium. Its description in RNAcentral is "partial 16S ribosomal RNA". It matches the Rfam family "Bacterial small subunit ribosomal RNA", at positions 524 to 776 of the family's 1533-position model. The record is from RNAcentral.
UACGUAGGGUGCGAGCGUUGUCCGGAAUUAUUGGGCGUAAAGGGCUCGUAGGCGGUUUGUCGCGUCGGGAGUGAAAAUCCAGGGCUUAACUCUGGACUGGCUUCCGAUACGGGCAGACUAGAGGUAUGCAGGGGAGAACGGAAUUCCUGGUGUAGCGGUGAAAUGCGUAGAGAUCUGGAGGAAUACCGGUGGCGAAGGCGACAUCCUGGACCGGUAUUGACGCUGAGGCGCGAAAGCCAGGGGAGCAAACGGG